Cariama cristata (Red-legged seriema) is the source of this 74-nucleotide non-coding RNA. NCBI's taxonomy places the organism in Eukaryota, Metazoa, Chordata, Aves, Cariamiformes, Cariamidae. The record is from Rfam.
GAGAAAUGAGGAUACAGACUCUGUCUUACUUCCGCAGUGAAGACUUCAGAUCCAACUCUGAUCUUACACUGAAG